This 329-nucleotide unclassified non-coding RNA is filed under the name soil metagenome. Its description in RNAcentral is "partial contains 5.8S ribosomal RNA, internal transcribed spacer 2, and large subunit ribosomal RNA". The stretch from base 1 to 120 matches the Rfam family "5.8S ribosomal RNA", at positions 35 to 154 of the family's 154-position model. The record is from RNAcentral.
GAUGAAGAACGUAGCGAAAUGCGAUAAGUAAUGUGAAUUGCAGAAUUCAGUGAAUCAUCGAAUCUUUGAACGCACAUUGCGCCGUCUGGUAAUCCGGGGGGCAUGCCUGUUCGAGCGUCAUUAUAACCACUCAAGCUCUCGCUUGGUAUUGGGGCUCGCGGUUCCGCGGCCCCUAAAAUCAGUGGCGGUGCCUGUCGGCUCUACGCGUAGUAAUACUCCUCGCGAUUGAGUCCGGUAGGUCUACUUGCCAGCAACCCCCAAUUUUUACAGGUUGACCUCGGAUCAGGUAGGGAUACCCGCUGAACUUAAGCAUAUCAAUAAGCGGAGGA